AGACCAAACUCAAGCAAGUGAGAACUGUGUUACUGUGGAUUUCUAAGGCUCUGAAUUAAUGUCUAGCAUCUAAGCUAUUGUCUUUUAAAAUACCGAAGACCUAAGAAAGGUUAACUUUAGUCUUUUCAGGUCAGUUCACAGGGGCUUCUCUUGCAUAGUGUAUUCGGCAAUUCACAGGCCUUCUUUAACAUACGGAUUCAUUGCUAUUACUAAGGAAUUGAGAUGAGCAGAUUUUGACUUUUGCUGUGUUGUGAUGAUUUUUAAAAAUUAGGAGCAGUGAAAAGGGAACUGUCUUUCCUCCUAACAAGACAUAAUAAAAGAUUAUUUCAAUUUGCGUUGAGAUCUUAAAGUUUAUGUACUUUGGCAAACACCUACGAAGCAAUUGGGCAAUUUUUACUCUUCACCUUUAAUUUAAGUAGCAAAAUGUAUUUUCCUUUUUUAGAGGUGACCCACCAAUGUGCAGGGGGACGAAUGCAGCCUUUAAGCAUUACUUCGAAGAAACUUAAUCUCGGGGGAUUUUGAUUUCUAAAAGUAAACAUACUUUAUAUUGCUUGUCUUCAGGUUAUCAUCUUAAACUGAAGAGAGUUCCUGCUUCAUAAUGAUGGUGGGCAUGAAGCCAGCAAAUAUUUGCCAAGAUGUUCUUCUGUGAUAAUUCACUGCAGGGCAGAAACCAUAAUCAACUGUUUACAAGCACUGAAGCUGUUCUCUCAAUUAAAAUAUUUUAAAUAACAUUUAAAAUAUUAAUGCUAAUGUAUUUAUUUAAGAAAAAAAUGUUUAUUCAGGUUAGUUCACAUGAUUCAUUUGAUAGUGAUGUCACUACUAUCUGUUUUGUUCGUUGAAGUGUGAAAAUACUGGUGUUAAUGCUUAGGAAAAUGCAAGAAAGAAGGAAAACUUAAAUUUUGCCUAUUUUUAACAUCUUAAAUUCAUAUUAGAAAAAUGAUUAUAACUCUUUGUAAUAGAGACUCCACUACAAAGCACCCCAGAUUAUGAUCACUUUCAAAUAAGAACUCAGAAGAGAGUCCAGUGAGAAGUAAGGAUUUAGGGGAAAUGGGUUUCAAGAAAAUCAGCAGUUAUAUUGAGACUUCUAGUGGGGGCAGUAGUGCAGAACUGGUCCAGCCCAGAACAAGGUACUGAUGGAAAGACACAGGCAGGCAUUACAGAGAAACAGCCUGUCAUGCAGCUUCAUAGUUUAUCUAGCUCACAAAGAUUUUCCAAAGAUUUCAUAAACAAGAUAUUUUUUGUACCCUUAGUCAGUCUUCUCAACUACACUGUCCAGAUUGACUGCUGCCAGCUAGUCAGUUAUCUCAUUUUUUUAGAUGUGCGAACAAGUCUCUCUUCCCAAGACUAUAAUUAUCUUUCUCUCCCUUCUUUCCUCUUUCAAUAAAUCCUGUUUUCACCUUUGUGAGGUGAAAUCAAUCUACUGUUUUACCUCUUUAUGAACAAGGAAACGGUGUGCUACAAUUUUGUGACUUUUGAGUUAUUCUUUGACACUACUAUGAAUCUUUCCUAAAGACUCUUUGCACUGUUGAAGGAUUGUCUUGGGUUAUGAGCUAAGGGGCAGAGAAGGAAAUGCUAAAUGAAAGUUAACUUUGCCAUAUAGGAAAGAGUUUGUUAUUUGCAACAAAAAAUUAGAAACAUAAGGCUACUACCUGUGAAUUUUUCUCUUGUAGAUACCAAUUUUUUUACUGUGUAAUACAAGUUUUAAAGGUUAUACCACAUUUAGUUAUAACAAAAUAUUGGCCAUAUUCCCUGUGUUGCACACUACAUCCUUGUAGCCUGUCUUACACCUCAUAGGUUGUACCUCCCACUCCUCUACCCCAUGUUGUCCCUCCUCCCACUAGUUUGUUCUCUACAUCUGUGAGUCUGCUUUUUCGUUAUAUCCAUUAGUUUGUUGUACUUUUAGAUUCCACAUAUAAGUGAUAUCACACAGUAUUUGUCUUUCUCCAUUUGGCUUAUUUCACUUAGCAUAAUGCCCUCCAAGUCCAUCCAUGUUGCUGCAAAUGGCAAAAUUUUUCUUUUUAUAGCUGAGUAAUAUUCCAUUUUAUAUAUGUACCACAUCUCUAUCCACUCAUCUGUUAAUGGACACUUCGGUUGCUUCCAUAUCUUGACAAUUGUGAGUAAUGCUGCUGUGAACACUGGGAUACAUGGUAUAUGCCAAAUUUUUAAAAAUAUUUAUAUCUUCACUACUUGAAACAUUCCUGUCCCUAGCUUUAAUUAUUCUUGUCAAUGGAAUCAUUUUCCACUAUUACAGUGUGCCCAUUCUUUUACAGCUCCAUUCAAGCUUACCUCAUAUAGUUUGUGCUAGGCAUUUUACAUGAAUUAAUUCUACCCAGGAAGCACAGAGAAGUUAACUCACCCAUGGUUGGACAUACGUUAUUUGGCAAAUUACCUACUCCUCUCCUAGACAUUACCUUCCUUAACCACCUUACCAUUCUAUAGCUCUUGUUACCUUUGUCAUGCAGUUUGUACUUAUUUAUCUAUCUUUAACUUUCUUGGUUAUUACAUGCAGAUCAGUCUCUUCAUCCCAGCUAGACAAAAAUGGCUGCAUAGUGGCUUCUUCUUUAGCAUCAAUUUAUAUAUACUGUGUGUGUGUGUGUACAGUAUAUAUAGCAUAUACACAGUAGCCCAGUGACAGUCUUGUAGAUUUUGAUGAAACUUGAUGAUUUGACUUAAAUGAUUUUAAAAGAUUUUACUAAAAUGAAUAAUAAUGUAACUAUGCUGGUAUUUCAUUUUGAGGAAGGUAGAUACAAAUAUUUUAGCUAUGAAUCAUAUUUUACAUUUUUGCAUAUUAGAAUACAGAAAUUUUUGUAUAGAACAGAGCUUCUUUUCUUGGCAAUUGUCAAUAAAACUCACUGCACGGGAAAAGAUGCAUUAGUAACUUAUGAUUCUAUGGAAAAUAGCCACAGAAAAUGCUAUGAGACUCUAAGAGCUAAUUUUGAUUUGCUGUGUGAUAAGGAGUUUAACAGAAGUUCAAAUAUAAAUUGAUGCAGUCAAAUGGGAAUGACUUUACUAAAUAGUACAGUAAACUCUGAAAUAUCCCUUAUUGUUGCUCUUGUGAACAGUAAGGUUUUUUUUUUUUUUCUGAGUUAUAUGGUUUCUGAUUACAGGUAACCUUGUUUUAUUGCAUUUUGAUUUAUUGCACUUCACAGAUAUUGUAGUUUUUACAAACUGAAGGUUUAUGGCAACCCUGCAUCAAGCAAGUCCAUAGGUGCCAUUUUUCCAACAAAUAUUUGCUCACUUGUCUAUCAUAUAUUGGUAAUUCUUGUAAUAUUUCAUAUUUUUUCAUUAUUAUAUUUGUUAUAAAUAUAAAACUUUCAUAGAUGAGGAGGUGCUUCUCAUGAAUGAGCAAAGAAAGUGGUUUCUUGAGAUGCAACUAAUCCUGGUGAAGAUGCUAUGAAGACUGUUGAAAUGACAACAAAGGAUUUAGAAUAUCACAUAAACUUAUUUGAUAAAACAGUGGCAGUCUGUGACGGUUGACUCCAAUUUUGAAAAACACUCUACUAUAAGUAAAAUCCUAUAUAGUACCCAAUAUAGUACAGGGAAAUUGUUCAUGAAAGAAGGGUCAAUCUGCAUGGCAAACUUCAUUAUUGUCUCAUUUUAAGAAAUUGCCAUGGCCACCCCAGCCUUCAGCAGCUAUUAAUCCUGAUCAGUCAACAGCUAUUAACAUCAAGGGAAGACCCUCUUCCAGCAAAAAAAACUACAGCUCCUUGAAGGCUCAGAUAACAGGUAACAUUUUUUUUAACAACAAAGUAUUUUUAAAAUGAGGUAUGUGCAUUUUUUAGACCUAAUGCUAUUGCAUACUUAAUAGACCACAGUUUAGUGUAAACAUAAUUUUAUGUGCACUGGGAAGCAAAAAAUAUCAUAUGACUUGCUUUAUUGAGAUACUCAUUGUAGUGGUCUGAAAAUGAAUGCAUAUUAUCUCCAAGGAAUCCCCAUAUAUAUAUUCAUCGUAGCUUACAUUUAUUUUGUGUCUUCUAUAUACUUGACACCUAAACUUAAUGUGUUAUCUCAUUUAAUCCUCACAACAUCCCUGUGAGAUGGUAAUGUUAUACCUCCAUUUGAUUUUAUCUCAGAAGGUACUGAAGCAAAGAGGAAUUCAGUCGUUUAUCCAAAGUCACACAGCCACAAUCUGAAGCCAGGUAAUCUGACUCUUGAUCCUGUAUACUCAUUCAUCAUAUUAUUCUGCAACCCUAUACAACAUAUAUAAUGAGAUGGCACUUUCUUAGAAAUAAGACCAUCCAAAUUGAAUGUUAAAUCUUCCCCCAUCUUCCUGUUCCCCUUCCCACACCCACAAAGUAGUGACUUAUUGGGGAAGUGCCCUGUUACUAAGGGAAAAAACAAGAAUUCAUGAUCCUCACCUCGUGCCUUAGAUCAGCAUCAGGUUAAAAGUCCUUUUUUGUUGUUAAUUUUGUUACUGGUGUUUAUAUACCCAGUCUUAUUACAGGAGGGCACAAGGCAUAGGCUGCAGUUCCACCUGUCUUUCAGGAGUUACAUAAAUCUGGGCAAGUAAAAGAAAAUAAUUCUUAAAAUGUUUUAAUUUUUAAAUUCUUGGGAAUGCAUAUAUUAAAUUGCAUGAUGUAGUUAGAUCGAUAUACCUGACCUAUAGAAUAAAUAGUUCCUUACAUUUUUUGUAGGUUAACUUUGUUUAAGGUACAUGGUUUACAGGUAUUUUAUUCCAUUCCAUUGGUUGCCUUUCCAAACAGUUGAUUACUGAUAAAAUAAAAAUUCUAAGUAU
This 4735-nucleotide long non-coding RNA is filed under the name Sus scrofa (pig). RNAcentral's name for it is "lncRNA (ENSSSCG00000058663.1)". Lineage: Eukaryota; Metazoa; Chordata; Mammalia; Artiodactyla; Suidae. The record is from RNAcentral.